GGCCUCCCUUCCCGGGCCUGGGCUGAGGGCAGCCGUUGGUGGGUUUCAGGGCCGCCUGGGCAGAAUGUCACGAUGGACGAGGGCGGCACGCCCCUGCUCCCCGACAGCCUGGUCUACCAGAUCUUCCUGAGCCUGGGCCCGGCCGACGUGCUGGCCGCCGGGCUGGUGUGCCGCCAAUGGCAGGCCGUGUCGCGGGACGAGUUCCUGUGGAGGGAGCAGUUCUACCGCUACUACCAGGUGGCCCGCGACGUGCCCCGACACCCAGCGGCCAUGUCCUGGUACGAGGAGUUCCAGCGGCUGUAUGACACGGUGCCCUGCGUGGAGGUGCAGACGCUGCGGGAACACACAGACCAGGUCCUGCACCUCAGCUUCUCCCAUUCCGGGUACCAGUUCGCGUCCUGCUCCAAGGACUGCACUGUGAAGAUCUGGAGCAACGACCUGACCAUCUCGCUGCUGCACAGCGCAGACAUGCGGCCCUACAACUGGAGCUACACCCAGUUCUCCCAGUUCAACAAGGACGACUCGCUACUGCUGGCCUCGGGGGUGUUCCUGGGGCCGCACAACUCCUCAUCCGGCGAGAUCGCUGUCAUCAGCCUAGGUGAGCACGGGCGGCGGGUUGACCCUGCCCCCGCCCCACACCGACAGCCUGUCCAGCCCCGGCCUCCCCACAGACUCCUUCGCGCUGCUGUCCCGCGUGCGGAACAAGCCCUACGACGUGUUCGGCUGUUGGCUCACCGAGACCAGCCUCAUCUCGGGGAACCUGCACCGCAUCGGAGAUAUCACCUCCUGCUCGGUGCUGUGGCUCAACAAUGCCUUCCAGGUGCGUGCGGGGCUAGGGGCGGGGCUGCCCUCCCCGGGGCCUGGCGCCCACCUGGCACGUGCCCCCGCCCCCAGGACGUGGAGUCAGAGAACGUCAACGUGGUGAAGCGGCUGUUCAAGAUCCAGAACCUCAAUGCCAGCACCGUCCGCACGGUGAUGGUGGCCGACUGCAGCCGCUUCGACAGCCCUGACCUGCUGCUGGAAGCCGGCGACCCGGCCACGUCCCCCUGCCGCAUCUUUGACCUAGGCAGCGACAACGAGGAGGUGGUGGCUGGCCCGGCCCCCGCCCACGCCAAGGAGGGCUUGCGGCACUUUCUGGACCGCGUGCUGGAGGGGCGGGCGCAGCCACAGCUGUCGGAGCGCGUGCUAGAGACCAAGGUGGCCGAGCUGCUGGCCCAGGGGCACACCAAGCCACCCGAGCGCAGUGCCACAGGCGCCAGGAGCAAGUACCUCAUCUUCACCACUGGCUGCCUCACCUACUCCCCACACCAGAUCGGCAUCAAGCAGAUCCUGCCACACCAGAUGACCACGGCAGGGCCCGUGCUGGGUGAGGGCCGGGGCUCCGACGCCUUCUUCGACGCGCUGGACCACGUCAUAGACAUACACGGACACAUCAUCGGCAUGGGCCUGUCGCCCGACAACAGGUGGGCCUCUUGCCAGUGUCCCAGGCGGGGUGCCCGCAGGCGGCCCACACCUAGCACAGUGCCCCUCGCCCAGGUACCUGUACGUGAACAGCCGCGCCUGGCCCAACGGUGCGGUGGUGGCCGACC
RNAcentral lists this small RNA (1589 nucleotides) under Pan troglodytes (chimpanzee). Its description in RNAcentral is "retained intron". Lineage: Eukaryota; Metazoa; Chordata; Mammalia; Primates; Hominidae. The record is from RNAcentral.